CGCGGGAACACCGGCGGCCCGAGUGGUGAUCGUGAUUAUUGGGUCUAAAGGGUCCGUAGCCGGUUUGGUCAGUCCUCCGGGAAAUCUGAUAGCUCAACUAUUAGGCUUUCGGGGGAUACUGCCAGACUUGGAACCGGGAGAGGUAAGAGGUACUACAGGGGUAGGAGUGAAAUCUUGUAAUCCCUGUGGGACCACCUGUGGCGAAGGCGUCUUACCAGAACGGGUUCGACGGUGAGGGACGAAAGCUGGGGGCACGAACCGGAUUAGAUACCCGGGUAGUCCCAGCCGUAAACGAUGCUCGCUAGGUGUCAGGCAUGGCGCGACCGUGUCUGGUGCCGCAGGGAAGCCGUGAAGCGAGCCACCUGGGAAGUACGGCCGCAAGGCUGAAACUUAAAGGAAUUGGCGGGGGAGCACAACAACGGGUGGAGCCCUGCGGUUUAAUUGGACUCAACGCCGGACAACUCACCGGGGGCGACAGCAAUAUGUAGGCCAAGCUGAAGACUUUGCCUGAAUCGCUGAGAGGUGGUGCAUGG
This 533-nucleotide ribosomal RNA is filed under the name uncultured archaeon. RNAcentral describes it as "bacterial SSU rRNA". It matches the Rfam family "Archaeal small subunit ribosomal RNA", at positions 466 to 997 of the family's 1478-position model. The record is from RNAcentral.